GGACUACUGGGGUAUCUAAUCCUGUUUGCUCCCCACGCUUUCGCGCCUCAGCGUCAGUUAAAGACCAGGUCGCCGCCUUCGCCACCGGUGUUCUUUCCAAUAUCUACGAAUUUCACCUCUACACUGGAAAUUCCACGACCCUCUUCUUCACUCAAGUCCAUACGUAUCAAAUGCAGUCCCCAGGUUGAGCCCAGGAAUUUCACAUCUGACUGUAUAAACCGCCUACGCGCCCUUUACGCCCAGUCAUUCCGAGCAACGCUAGCCCCCUUCGUAUUACCGCGGCUGCUGGCAC
RNAcentral lists this ribosomal RNA (292 nucleotides) under uncultured bacterium. Its description in RNAcentral is "partial 16S ribosomal RNA". The record is from RNAcentral.